This 850-nucleotide ribosomal RNA is filed under the name Streptomyces sp. RNAcentral describes it as "bacterial SSU rRNA". It matches the Rfam family "Bacterial small subunit ribosomal RNA", at positions 87 to 956 of the family's 1533-position model. Lineage: Bacteria; Bacillati; Actinomycetota; Actinomycetes; Kitasatosporales; Streptomycetaceae. The record is from RNAcentral.
GAGGGAUAGUGGCGACGGGUGAGUAACACGUGGGCAAUCUGCCCUUCACUCUGGGACAAGCCCUGGAAACGGGGUCUAAUACCGGAUACGACUGCGGAAGGCAUCUUCCGCGGUGGAAAGCUCCGGCGGUGAAGGAUGAGCCCGCGGCCUAUCAGCUUGUUGGUGGGGUAAUGGCCUACCAAGGCGACGACGGGUAGCCGGCCUGAGAGGGCGACCGGCCACACUGGGACUGAGACACGGCCCAGACUCCUACGGGAGGCAGCAGUGGGGAAUAUUGCACAAUGGGCGAAAGCCUGAUGCAGCGACGCCGCGUGAGGGAUGACGGCCUUCGGGUUGUAAACCUCUUUCAGCAGGGAAGAAGCGAAAGUGACGGUACCUGCAGAAGAAGCGCCGGCUAACUACGUGCCAGCAGCCGCGGUAAUACGUAGGGCGCAAGCGUUGUCCGGAAUUAUUGGGCGUAAAGAGCUCGUAGGCGGCCAGUCACGUCGGAUGUGAAAGCCCGAGGCUUAACCUCGGGUCUGCAUUCGAUACGGGCUGGCUAGAGUGUGGUAGGGGAGAUCGGAAUUCCUGGUGUAGCGGUGAAAUGCGCAGAUAUCAGGAGGAACACCGGUGGCGAAGGCGGAUCUCUGGGCCAUUACUGACGCUGAGGAGCGAAAGCGUGGGGAGCGAACAGGAUUAGAUACCCUGGUAGUCCACGCCGUAAACGUUGGGAACUAGGUGUUGGCGACAUUCCACGUCGUCGUGCCGCAGCUAACGCAUUAAGUUCCCCGCCUGGGGAGUACGGCCGCAAGGCUAAAACUCAAAGGAUUGACGGGGCCCGCACAGCGCGAGCAUGUGGCUUAAUUCGACG